GUUGUUUUUAAGCUGCCCAGCUGUAGUGGCAGCCCUAGAAAAGAUAUGCAGAGAUUUUUCCAUUGCCACCUCCAUGACUCUCAUGUGAGCAGAACCUUCCUGCUGGAAGUGAAUCACUGGACAGGUGGGGGGAGGGAGGGGUGGAACUAGGUCACUGAGGGCAUUCAGUGCCCUCCUGUGCCCCUCUACACCCCUGUGCAGUCCUGUGGGAUGGUCUGUGGUCUGCUCAGGAAGGAGAGUAGGGGGUUCUGAUUGGCCCCAGAAAUAUGCCCCAUCUUUCUUCUGUAGUUCAGCAGUAAUUCUCUAGGGUGAGGGUGUACAGAGCCGGAGCUUUCCACCUUGGGCCCCGACAUCUCAGGAUGCGCUCCCUGGGUAGUUCUGUUGGCAGCUUUAGCUUGUGAGCUCACCAAGCUUUGUGAGGAUUUGUCAUGGCUUCAAGGGGUUGGCUCAGUACAUGAGUAGAGUCUGGAGUUUGGGGCCUGUGCCUGCCGGUGCCGUUUGAUGCUGAAAGAGAUACCACAUCUGCAAUGUGAGUCCCUCCUCUUCUCUGCCAAGGCAUGUCCUCACUAGGGCUGUUCCCCCUGAUGCAGAAAAGACAUACCGCAUACCUCAAGAUGCCUUUAUGGGCCAUUGGCCCCUGGCCUGUCUUCUCUGGGAAUAUUGUGUCUGGAUGGGUGUCAUUGACCUAGCCCUGGUUUGUGAGUGCUAGAAAGGAGGAAGGGAAGAUGAGGAGAAGGAGAAUGGAGAACACACACCUAAGAGUUUUUCCUUCAAAUUGGAAUAAGCUCCAGGGGCCCACCCACUGCUAUCGUUAUGAUGUCACAGAAAGGAACAGCCAGAGCAGGGGGAAGAAAUUCAUGAAGUCAUCUGGCCCAAAGCCCUCUUCGAUCUUCCAUACCACCAGGAUGGCAGAGGUUGGUGCAUGUUUCUGACAACUGAGCUCUUGAAUACCCGAGACCACACAGCAGCAACGCUGGGGGACGAACUCACUGAGCUGGUGCCCAGCUGCUCAUCUGGGAAGUUCUACCGGGUUCUCACUUGUAAUCAGCAAACCCAGACUCCUCACCUUAGAGACUAUCAGACCAAGCUUCUCUUGGGAUCCUUGAAGAUGGCUGGACGUUGCAAGCGACGCUAUACGGAGAAAUCGCAUCCCAGAGUGACAACGGAGGUUUCCCUGGGAUGUGUUUUGUGCUGUUUGAGCAGGUGAUUUUUCAUCCUGUACCAGGAGCUCUUCUGCGCAGGGAAGCUGAGUUAGAGAGAGCAACCAUCUCACAAGGACACUUGGUGUCGAGCUUGGGGGGUUCUCGCUGGUGAACAGCGACUAAAACCGGCUGCGUGUGUGCAAAGUGUGUGCUAAUCACACUUUUAAGGAAUCGAAGGACAUCAAAGCAUGAGAUCCCGCGACUGAGAUGGCACCAGGAGAUGGGGGGGGGGGGUGGU
This 1440-nucleotide long non-coding RNA is filed under the name Felis catus (domestic cat). Its description in RNAcentral is "lncRNA (ENSFCAG00000049269.1)". Lineage: Eukaryota; Metazoa; Chordata; Mammalia; Carnivora; Felidae. The record is from RNAcentral.